This 1061-nucleotide ribosomal RNA is filed under the name Kumbadjena sp. WAM-T133782. RNAcentral's name for it is "SSU rRNA". It matches the Rfam family "Eukaryotic small subunit ribosomal RNA", at positions 50 to 952 of the family's 1831-position model. The record is from RNAcentral. Lineage: Eukaryota; Metazoa; Onychophora; Udeonychophora; Euonychophora; Peripatopsidae.
CAUGCACGUCUAAGUACUCGCCUUGGUCUAUUUAAAGUGAAACCGCGAAUGGCUCAUUAAAUCAGUUAUGGUUCACUGGACCGUACCACAUCCUACUCGGAUAACUGUGGUAAUUCUAGAGCUAAUACAUGCAACUAGGCCCUGCCCGGCCGCUCCGUCCGUCAAAACGACGGUCGGUCGGAAAGGGCGCCAUUAUCAGCUCAAAACCGACCGGGUCGCCCGCCGUCCUCUGGACGGGCAGGGCUCCCGUUCUUGUUGACCCUUUGACGACUCUGGAUAACCUCCUAGCGGAUCGCCGGUCAAACUUAGGUCGGCCGGGUGUUUCGGCAUCCGCGCCCGACCUAACGGCGACUGGUCUUUCGAAUGUCUGCCUUAUCAACUGUCGACGGUAGGUUAGACGCCUACCGUGGUCGUAACGGGUGACGGGGAAUCAGGGUUCGAUUCCGGAGAGGGAGCCUGAGAAACGGCUACCACAUCCAAGGAAGGCAGCAGGCACGCAAAUUACCCAAUCCCCGAACGGGGAGGUAGUGACGAAAAAUAACGAUACGGGACUCUUAACGAGGCCUCGUAAUCGGAAUGAGUCCGCUCUAAAUCCUUUUAACGAGGAUCUAUCGGAGGGCAAGUCUGGUGCCAGCAGCCGCGGUAAUUCCAGCUCCGAUAGCGUAUAUUAAAGUUGCUGCGGUUAAAAAGCUCGUAGUUGGAUUUGGGUUUUCGGGCCGGCGGGCCGCCGCCUUCGAGCGGCGCGUCUCCCGCCGCGCCCCCGGAACCGCACGGUCGCAGAGGCCCCCGCGGUGCUCUUGAGUGAGUGUCCGCCGGUUCGGGUCGCCGAACGUUUACUUUGAAAAAAUUAGAGUGCUCCAGGCAGGCCGGUAAAGCGUUGUUUAAAAAAGACCCGCGCCUGAAUAGUCACGCAUGGAAUAAUGAAAGAGGACCGGUGGUCCUAUUUUGUUGGUUUUCGGGAUUUUCCGCCGUCAUGAUUAAGAGGGACGGCCGGGGGCAUUCGUACCGCGGCGCGAGAGGUGAAAUUCUAGGACCGCCGCGAGACGAACCGUUGCGAAAGC